Nerophis ophidion (straightnose pipefish) is the source of this 2727-nucleotide long non-coding RNA. RefSeq lists it as uncharacterized. NCBI's taxonomy places the organism in Eukaryota, Metazoa, Chordata, Actinopteri, Syngnathiformes, Syngnathidae. The record is from RefSeq and is a predicted model, not a curated record. The transcript is spliced from 7 exons.
UUUGAAAAACAAAUUUGUACUUUUGCCUUUAUUAAUUGAUUAUGAUAAUAAUACAACACAGGACAACGAUUUAAGUCAAAAAAUAAAAUAUUUCUUACAAAAGUAAUAUCAAUAGCAAUAAAGUAAUGCAAAUAAGGUGCAAACAACUACUGAACCUGGCUUGUCGCCUCAAUACACACAAACACUUAAGGUAAAUAACAAAACUUUAGUUAUUGAACAAAGUUGUAAACAUGAACACAAAACAAAAGAACUGAGAAAUUCAAAUAAAAAAGUAAUAUCAAUUACAAUAAAGUAAGUAGUGCAAAUAAGGUGAAAACAAAUACUGAACUUGGCUAGUCGCCUCACAAAACACAAGAACUUAAGUAAAAAAGAAAACACUAGUUAAUAAACAGUUGUAAAAAUGAACACAAUACAAAAGAACUGAGAAAUUCUUAUCGUUAUUUUAGUGCAAUAAACGACUUUACAGUUUACAACCAAGACAUUAAGUUGCACUGGAAACGCACGCGUGUGUGUGUGUGUGUGUGUGUGUGUGUGUGUGUGUGUGUGUGUGUGUGUGUGUGUGUGUGUGUGUGUGUGUGUGUGUGUGUGUGUGUGUGUGUGUGUGUGUGUGUGUGUGUGUGUGUGUGUGUGUGUGUGUGUGUGUGUGUGUGUGUGUGUGUGUGCGUUUGUCAAAGUGACAUAUGGGGACAUUUUUAUGAAAUUUCACCUUACAUAUGAGGACCUGUUGAAAUAUGGGGACAUUUUCCAUGUCCCCAUAUUUCCCGCAAUGCUAUCGUGUUCUAGACCCUCCCAGCAUGUUCCCAGACCAAAAAUCUCUAAAGUCUUCAUUUGUCAAAUUUUCAGAAAAAGUGUGUGAAAGUGUGUUUAAUUUUUUUGGUCACCUUCGAUUUUGCCCCUAGUGGCCAUCUUUGCUAUUAUGACACACACACACACACACUUGUCCUCAUAUGUCAUAUGUCCUCAUAUGUCAUGUGGGUCAGAAACUCACACACUCCAACAUUUUGAAAAACAUCUAACCAUUACAGCAAUAAACAUACUCUUGAAUUCUGAAUCAAAUAACAACACAUUUUCAACUGAUCUGAUGAUCUCAUCCUUUUUAGUGUUAGUUUUAUCUAUUAAUUUGGUUUAUCUGGAGAGGAUUUGGGCUAGACAAUUAGUAAUAAAGGGAUUAUGGUGAUGAUUUAAUUUGUUUGAUUCAGUAUUUUACUGUAUUGGACUUUUUGCUAUUCUGUUGUCUAAAAUACAAUGCCGCACAAUAAUUGCUUUAAAUGUGCCUGAAAUGUAGGUUUUUGCAUAAAAAAAAACCACCUUCAACCUUGAUUGAGACAAAGGCAAUAAUUCAAAUGCAAUUCAAACUACACACAAUAUUUAAUAUUUUCAAAUGGUUACAAUAGCACAUUAUUUGGGUAUUUUUAUCUUUGGGGCAAAUUUAGGAUUAAUAUGGGGAUUGUUUUUGGAGGUAUUCACUUUACAUGGUGUUCAAGAUGGUUACUUCCGCCCACUCUGAAGAGUCUCGGCGUCUGAUUGGUCCAAUUUUCAGUUAGGCGCCGCCUGAUUGGCCGCUGGACGAUGUCUGCUCCUAACAGAUGGCUAAAUCACUAGUUAACUAUUUUCAUCAAGAAAGUUAUACAGCUCAUGUAUCACACUUAAUAUUGAAUAUAUAUAUAAAAAGGGUUUUCCGAAAGGACCAUUUAUAAUCGAAAUACACAACUUCACACACGAUUUUGAGCACAACAGAGCGCUCAGUGAACAUCACUUCCGGGACCUGCAUCACCGGAGGGGGACAUCUAUCUUGGUCACAAACAAUCUUUGACAGUCUUCGACAGCAUGGUUGAAUCAGGCGCAUCAACACAUGAUAUAGACAUCGUGCCCAAAAGAAGAGCGAGACGUAAUCCUGAGGCUGAAGCCACCGAGUUUAUUUGAUCUGGAUGUGACAAGUCUUGUUUUAAGGCCCAGUGGAUCAAUGAUUGGAAAGACACCAACUGUUGAUGUUCUAUCUCAACAUUCUCCAGAUUCAUGUGAGCGAUAAACCGACUUCAUCCCUCCAACAGACACCAACUGUUGGGGUUCUAUCUCAACAUUCUCCAGAUUCAGAUGUGAGCGAUAAACCGACUUCAUCCCUCCAACAGAAACCAACUGUUGAGGUUCCAUCUCAACAUUCUCCAGAUUCAGAUGUGAGCCAUUAACUGACUUCAUCCCUCCAACAGAAACCAACUGUUGAGGUUCUAUCUCAACAUUCUCUAGAUUCAGAUGACAGCCAUAAACCGACUUCAUCCCUCCAACAGAUUGAAAGCAGGACAAAUCGCUGGAAGUGGGUAUGUCUCAAGCUUCUUCCACUUGGUCCACUCCAAAGCGGGGUAAAUAAAUAAUCUACAUCAUUUACUAGAAUAUUAUAUUACGUUUUGCACCUUUUCACUGUAUUAUAGUCCUUAUUCCUUCAGUAAGAAAUUGUAUUUUGUCUCCUUUAUGACAACUGCAAAGGGGAAGAAGUGGAAGCAGUUGAAUGACACAUGUUGCAUUUUGUAACUGGCAACAAAGUACCAGGUAAAAAAGAUUGUGAAGCCUGCCUCCAUAAAGAACUAGUAGCUCUACAGGACAGAGAUUGGCUUGCCAUCAAGUACUACAUCCAUAACAGAAUUAUAUUAAAAAAAGGGAAAAAAAAUGUUUUCCCACAUCUUCUGUGGUAGUUUGAGUAUGUUACCAGCAAUUAAAAAAGCAAAAUAAACA